UGCUUGGCAGUAUAACUUUAUCACUUCAAUAUAACAUGCUGUAUAUACAGACCCAUGUUUUCUACUUGCUUUUUGUUGUUGUUCAGAGAAGGAUCACUGGGUCUGGGGCAAUCAGAGAAGACCUCAUGAGGACUGGAAAAUCUUAUUUCUUGAAGUUCAAGCUCAAGUAUCAACAAGGAAGAAAAUGCCAAAUAGAAGGAAUGAUAUGAGCGAAGGAGGUGUGAAGGACAAGUUCCAUGACAGCAAGAACUUCAUUUCAUUCACUGCUCUGUCCUCAGUGCCUAGUUCAGUGCCUGACACAUUGCAGCUUCUAGAUAAAAAGUAAAGAAGUAUUCAAAGAUUGAUACAGACGUGUCAAAAGGACUUGGGAGCCAGCUUGAAGGGAGUUUCACCGGCCAAAUUUGGAAAAUUUGACCUUUGAAAUAAAUAAUGAUAGUGAUGAUUUACAA
Pan troglodytes (chimpanzee) is the source of this 449-nucleotide long non-coding RNA. RefSeq lists it as uncharacterized. The transcript has 3 exons. The record is from RefSeq and is a predicted model, not a curated record. NCBI's taxonomy places the organism in Eukaryota, Metazoa, Chordata, Mammalia, Primates, Hominidae.